AACCCUGAGACUCAAGUUUGUAAGAGCGAAGUGGUGGCCUGGCCAUCCAGUACCCUAGGCCCCUCUGGCCCGAAGCCACAGCUGUUUUGUAAUAAAGAAACUUGGCUUCUUAGAUCCGGCUAACUUAGGCUUACACAGACUCCUCUCCUCUCCAGUCAUUCCGUUUGGGAUAAAACUUGGUUGUUAUCAAAAGAUUUAGUUUCCUUGUUUCCCUCUGCCCCUCUCCCUUCCUUCUCAGUUACGAAGCAACACAGUAUCAUGACCUAAAUCUUUAGCAGCUGAAACAUACAUCUGAGCUCUCUAAAACAGGGGCAGGCUGUGGAGAUGCAAGCCAGCCUGUGGUCACCAGGUCAAAGAGAAUUUUCGACUACCUGGGGCUGCUUCAUAGAAAGAAAGCUCCGUAGGGACAUACCCCCUACCCUGGAUUUUGUUUGUUUGUUUAAGUCAGCCAUAUUUAACACAAUUUUGGGUUGUUUUUAUAAUCCUGUGAAGUGUCUACUUCUGCUGCCAGUUAAACACACCCAGUAAAUGUUGGGUUUGUAUUUACAUAGCUGUUGGUACUGUUUAACCCUUUGAGUUGACACCAAGAAGCUGAGACCCUGGUCCCUGCUUAUCCCACAGCCUGUGAGACACUGCUUCCUCAGCAUGUGGUCUUGGGAAGUAUCUUAAAGGCAGUUAAUUGUCUCUAAAUCAGGCAAUCUAGUUAGAUAAGUAAUAUGUGAUUUUUAAAAUUUAUUUAUAUGAGUACAUUAAUGAAGUCUUCAGACACAUCAAGAAAGGGCAUCAGAUCCCAUUACAGAUGGUUGUGAGCCACCAUGUGGUUGCUGGAAAUUGAACUCAAGACCUCUGGAAGAACACUCAGUGCUCCUAAUCCCUGAGCCAUCUCUCCAGCCCCAAUAUGUGAUAUAUUUUUUAAUUACAGUUUUAUUUACUUACUUUGUGUGUGUCCAGGAGUAGGACAUGUAUGUCACAGUGGAUAUGUGAAAGUCAGAGGACAACUUCCAGAAAUUGAUCCUUGCUUCCUACUGUGGAUCCCAAGAACUGAACUCAGGUUGCCAGAUGGCAGGCACCUCUACACAUUGAGAUAUCUGGCUGAUAUCAAAGCCAGAACCUCGAAUAUGCUAAACAAGCAUUCUAGUGGUGAACUAUUCACCUAAGCAUGGUAUUUUUUAACUUGAAAAGAUGCCAGAACUU
This 1194-nucleotide long non-coding RNA is filed under the name Mus musculus (house mouse). RNAcentral describes it as "long non-coding RNA chr4:57684938-57686132". Lineage: Eukaryota; Metazoa; Chordata; Mammalia; Rodentia; Muridae. The record is from RNAcentral.